GUGAAUCUAUAUCUUGUAACUAUUCAACUACUGGCUUAGGAGGAUAUGCAUAUCUGAAAAUCAUCCAUUCUUUUGAUAAAGUUAUCGAUCUGCGUCAUUUUCGGUUAUCAUAAUCACCAUGACUUUUAUGUGUCGAUUACGAAAAAAAAUUUCUCUAUCAUGCUUCUAGAUCCAAAAACUGGCAACGAUCCACAAUAUUUUAAAACAAAAAACAUUCAAGUAGAGUCAGAUCGGUACCAGUUAGGUGUUCAUCGCAUUUCAAAAGUCGGUUUCGUGGGUUUGUCCAGAGGCCACUGUACAUUAGUCUUUCCAAGUGUGAAAGGGAAUAUCAUAUACGGUGUUUGAGGGAACACAAGAAGAUGUAUAUGAAGGUGUCUUCUCAUUUCGGAGGGAUCGGAAUCGGAAUCACAUAUUCCGAUGUGAAGUGGAUUGUUUUCCUUGGGAAAGAUGUUUCUGAUGAAUGGUGACAUUCUAAGGAACAUCUUUGUUAGAAAUGGAGGUGGUGGGUCUUCAAGGUGGAAUUACUUUUCAAGAUGGUUUUGGUUUUUGUCUUUGCAUGGAGAAGUAAAGUAAACAAUGAAUGAAUGAAUAAUGAAUACCCAUUUGUUGAUUUUUAUUUGAUGGUUUUAAAAUAUAGAUUUGAUGUACGUUUCAAGAUUUUUCCUUUGUUGAAUAUGUAAUUAUUGUUAUUUUUUGCAUGAAUUUAUAUUUUUUUUUAUAUCCAAAACUCGCUGCUAGCCUAUCACAUAAAAAUCUCUCUGUAAUCUAUUAGUGAGUUUUUCUUAAAUUUUGUCGAUAGUUCGUUAGGGAGCUAUUCUUUUGGUAAUUUUUACAAAAAAGUGUAUUCUUCAUUGAUCGGUUACUAAUAACCGACGUAAAAAUUCGUUAAUCUAAAAAAGGGUACGGUUCAUUAAACAAAUUAGAUGCGUCCAGAUAAAAUGAAACUCUACCAACACGACACAAUGCCGCUGCCGCCGAUCCUUCGCCAUCUAAAUGCCACAAUUUCGCUGCCGGAGACUCUGUGAACAACCCGAAAAA
Molecule: long non-coding RNA, 1038 nt
Organism: Lactuca sativa (garden lettuce)
Lineage: Eukaryota; Viridiplantae; Streptophyta; Magnoliopsida; Asterales; Asteraceae
Source: RefSeq, a predicted model, not a curated record